GACAGAGGGUGCAAACGUUGCUCGGAAUUACUGGGCGUAAAGUGUGCGCAGGCGGCUCCGCAAGUCGAGUGUGAAAUCCCCGAGCUUAACUUGGGAAUUGCGCUCGAAACUACGGAGCUGGAGUGUGGCAGAGGAAGGUGGAAUUCCACGUGUAGCGGUGAAAUGCGUAGAUAUGUGGAGGAACACCGAUGGCGAAGGCAGCCUUCUGGGCCAACACUGACGCUCAUGCACGAAAGCGUGGGGAGCAAACAGG
This 253-nucleotide ribosomal RNA is filed under the name uncultured bacterium. RNAcentral describes it as "partial 16S ribosomal RNA". It matches the Rfam family "Bacterial small subunit ribosomal RNA", at positions 524 to 776 of the family's 1533-position model. The record is from RNAcentral.